CCUACGGGACGCAGCAGUAGGGAAUUUUUCACAAUGGGCGAAAGCCUGAUGGAGCAAUGCCGCGUGAAUGAUGAAGGUCUUAUAGAUUGUAAAAUUCUUUUAUUUGGGAAGAAAAACUAAAGUAGGAAAUGACUUUAGUCUGACUGUACCAUUUGAAUAAGUAUCGGCUAACUAUGUGCCAGCAGCCGCGGUAAUACAUAGGAUGCAAGCGUUAUCCGGAUUUACUGGGCGUAAAACGAGCGCAGGCGGGUUAACAAGUUUGGUAUGAAAGGCUUUUGCUUAACGAAAGUUUGUAUCAAAAACUG
This 305-nucleotide ribosomal RNA is filed under the name uncultured bacterium. RNAcentral's name for it is "bacterial SSU rRNA". It matches the Rfam family "Bacterial small subunit ribosomal RNA", at positions 338 to 635 of the family's 1533-position model. The record is from RNAcentral.